GGGCGCUGUGCGGCGGGGGGAUCCCUGCGGGAGCGGCGGGCACAGCCCCGAGCAGCAGCGUCAGCCCUGUCCCGGGCAGGAGGGACAGCUCCGGUGCCAUAUGGCACCCGCUGGGACGGGCACCGCCGGGCCAGCACUGCUCUGGUGAAGGCGAAGAACAUCCGCCCUGACAGGGUGUUUUGGAGCUGCCGCUGGGCCAGGAGAAGCUGGGUGCUGUUACUGUGUGCCACAGGGAUUUUCCGGGUGUUGUCCUAAUGGUACCAUUUAGAAUGGAAAAACGGGGAGAGGAAGUGCUGAGCCUGCACCAGCUGAUGCCAGAGGAGAUGCCAGGAGCUGCCUGGCUGUAAAACAUUCCCAGAUCCUGAGAGAGACUGGGGAUGUGGUGCAACAACAGCAUCACCGGGAGGAGAGGGCGCCCUAGGCGCCGUCUCAGGAAAAAAGCCCACACUGGGCAUCAUCAGAGGUUUUGGGUUCCUGCAGCGGGAGCCCAGAUCCCUCACCCCCACCUCUCUGUAUUCCGGUGCUCGGGCUGUAAAAAUCCUGGGGCUACUUCCUAGCCCAUUUUUCAGCUGGGAAAAGGGACAGGACAAGGGCUGCGGGGCUGCAAAGGAGCAGAAACUUUGCGGGAUCCAAGAGUGAGCGCGGCUCUCCUGAGCCGGCUCUGGCAGGGUGGAACACGGACAGGGGGAAAAGGGCCGGGAGCCGGGGAUAUGCGAGCAGAGCUCCCAGCCCAGCUCAGGGACUGCCCUGGGGCACUCUGCUCAUGGCUGGCAGCGGCACUCUCAGCCCUGCGAGCGCGGCUCCCAUCGCCCCCGCGGGUCGGGUCCACAUCCAGGACAGGGGAACUGGGAUGGGGAAGAUGCGCCUGUCCUCAGGGAGCGCCAAGGGGCGUUUCCUAAGCAGGUUUCACAUCCUCGGGAGGAUCGGUAGAUUCUGUUUAUUCCACACCAAGAUGCUCCAGAGCAAUUAAAUCAAUCUAGUGCCCUUCAAAUAGA
Molecule: long non-coding RNA, 995 nt
Organism: Poecile atricapillus (Black-capped chickadee)
Lineage: Eukaryota; Metazoa; Chordata; Aves; Passeriformes; Paridae
Exons: 3
Source: RefSeq, a predicted model, not a curated record